AAUAAAGAAAGCCGAGCCCAUAUACAGCAGAUGAAUUAUUGGCCCUGUCAGAAAACAAGGCAGGCAGGUAGAGCAAGGGGGAGACGCAGUGACAAAUGACGGAUAACAAGCAAACAUGGCUUUUUGGACUGCACUCGGGACAGCGCCCCCCUUCUGUUGCAAAAUGGAAAAACAGCCACAGAGGAGAAAAACAACUUUGAUUGGCAGUCCAGUUCAGCCAGCAAAAAACAGCACAAUAAAAGUCGCCAACAUUUAUAGCGACCUGCGAUGAUGUCAUCGUCACCUAUAGAUUCAUGCUCGUACUGCAACGUUCAUAGUUAUACUGCUUUUAAAAAUUAGUAUUUGACUGUGAACCUUAAAUAUAAUCCUAUGCUAUAAAAGAAAGCACUCAAACCACCACUGGUGAACCAACAAAGGAAUAGUCUUCGUUACAUGGAUUGUGAAGGCAGAACAUAACAGUGGCUGCACAAACAGAUUUUGUUCAUAUUAAUGUACUAACGAUAGCUUUUCCUAUCUUGACAUAGCUGACAUUUAAACGGCAGGAAAUGUAAAGUAUUUAAUGUUUCUUGAUGGUAAUAAAAGGUGGCAGUUCAUUACCCGAAAUUAAACAAUUACAACUAUUUUGUAUUGCCUUUUCAGUUGGAUUCAACUCUAGCAAGAUUGCUCUAUAUACCGUUAGCUUAGGUAGCUAGCUAAAUCAGAAGUUUAGUGAUGCUAUUUUCGCUCACUAGUUAGCUUGUAGUUGACAAGUAAAAAAGUUGAGAUAUUUAAAACUGUUUAAAACUGCAAUAUUCAUAUUGUCAAUGAGCGGUUUGCUGUCUAAACAUGUUGUUUAAAUUUUAAAAAAGACACCAAAGCUAAAUGAAAGAGGUGGUUAAGAGAUGAGUGGUUCCUCUAAUAUAAAAUAAUCCCUUUAUCAAAUGAAUGAACGUUACCCAGGCGACACAGUUAGCCGUUAGCUUUAAUUGUGCUGAAACUAUUUCCAACUGCUUCGUCUCUUGUCAGUUUACCUGUUUGUGCACGCGCUGACACUGGGUUCUCAGUGGGUACUCCAUUUUAC
Long non-coding RNA from Eleginops maclovinus (Patagonian blennie), 1060 nucleotides. RefSeq lists it as uncharacterized. The transcript has 3 exons. Lineage: Eukaryota; Metazoa; Chordata; Actinopteri; Perciformes; Eleginopidae. The record is from RefSeq and is a predicted model, not a curated record.